AGGGAGUUUGAUCCUGGCUCAGAACGAACGCUGGCGGCGCGUCUUAAGCAUGCAAGUCGAGCGGGAAUAUCCAGCUUGCUGGAUACGAGAGCGGCGGACUGGUGAGUAACGCGUGGGUGACGCACCCUUGGGCCGGGGAUAGCCUUAAGAAAUUAAGGGUAAUACCGGAUACGGUCCCUUACGUUGGAGGUAAGGGAGGAAAGGAGCCACGGCUCCACCCGAGGAACGGCCCGCGACCCAUCAGCUAGUUGGCGGGGAAAAGGCCCACCAAGGCGAUGACGGGUAUCCGGCCUCAGAGGGCGACCGGACACAUUGGGACUGAGAUACGGCCCAGACUCCUACGGGAGGCAGCAGCUAAGAAUAUUCCGCAAUGGGGGGAACCCUGACGGAGCGACGCCGCGUGGACGAUGAAGGCCGGAAGGUUGUAAAGUCCUUUUCUGACGGAGGAAGAAGUGCCGGAGGGAAUGCCGGCAUGGUGACUGUAGGUCAGGAAUAAGCACCGGCUAAUUACGUGCCAGCAGCCGCGGUAACACGUAAGGUGCGAGCGUUGUUCGGAAUCAUUGGGCGUAAAGGGCAUGUAGGCGGUCAUGCAAGUCUGGAGUGAAAUGCCGGGGCUCAACCCCGGAACUGCUUUGGAAACUGUGUGACUGGAGUCACCGAGGCGGAGCCGGAAUUCCAGGUGUAGGGGUGAAAUCUGUAGAUAUCUGGAAGAACACCAAUGGCGAAGGCAGGCUUCGAGCGGAUGACUGACGCUGAGGUGCGAAGGUGCGGGGAGCAAACAGGAUUAGAUACCCUGGUAGUCCCCU
RNAcentral lists this ribosomal RNA (806 nucleotides) under uncultured Spirochaetota bacterium. RNAcentral's name for it is "bacterial SSU rRNA". It matches the Rfam family "Bacterial small subunit ribosomal RNA", at positions 9 to 799 of the family's 1533-position model. Lineage: Bacteria; Pseudomonadati; Spirochaetota. The record is from RNAcentral.